UUGAUCAUGGCUCAGAUGAACGCUAGCGGCAGGCUUAAUACAUGCAAGUCGAGGGGCAGCAGCUUUAUAGCAAUAUAGAGGCUGGCGACCGGCAAACGGGUGCGGAACACGUACACAACCUUCCUUUAAGUGGGGGAUAGCCCAUAGAAAUGUGGAUUAAUACCCCGUAAUAUUAUUGAAGUGGCAUCACUUUAUAAUUAUAGUUUCGACGCUUGAAGAUGGGUGUGCGGCUGAUUAAGUAGUUGGCGGGGUAAAGGCCCACCAAGCCCUCGAUCAGUUAGCUGAUGUGAGAGCAUGAUCAGCCACACGGGCACUGAGACACGGGCCCGACUCCUACGGGAGGCAGCAGUAAGGAAUAUGGUCAAUGGACGCAAGUCUGAACCAGCCAUGCCGCGUGAAGGAUGAAGUCCUCUGGAUUGUAACUCUUUAUAGGGGCGAAAAAAGGAAUCUUUCCACUUGACAGUACCCUAUGAAUAAGCACCGGCUAACUCCGUGCAGCAGCGCGUAAUACGGAAGGUGCAAGCGUUAUCCGGAUCACUGGGUUUAAGGUGCGUAGCGGAUAGUAAGUCAGGGUGAAUCCUGAGCUUAUCAGACUGCUUGAUACUACUAUCUGAUAUGGUGGAGUAGCGGAUAU
Molecule: ribosomal RNA, 634 nt
Filed under: uncultured bacterium
Lineage: Bacteria
Description: bacterial SSU rRNA
Rfam family: Bacterial small subunit ribosomal RNA
Source: RNAcentral